AACGCACAUUGCGCCCCGUGGUAUUCCGCGGGGCAUGCCUGUUCGAGCGUCAUUUAAACCAAUCCAGCUUGCUGGGUCUUGGGCUCUCGCCUCCGGGCGGGCCCUAAAAUCAGUGGCGGUGCCGUCCGGCUCUAAGCGUAGUAAUACUCCUCGCUACAGGGUCCCGGGCGGUCGCUUGCCAGCAACCCCUAAAUCUUUCAGGUUGACCUCGGAUCAGGUAGGGAUACCCGCUGAACUUAA
Molecule: unclassified non-coding RNA, 240 nt
Filed under: uncultured Crocicreas
Lineage: Eukaryota; Fungi; Ascomycota; Leotiomycetes; Helotiales; Helotiaceae
Description: partial contains 5.8S ribosomal RNA, internal transcribed spacer 2, and large subunit ribosomal RNA
Rfam family: 5.8S ribosomal RNA (bases 1-52)
Source: RNAcentral